AUACGUAGGGGGCGAGCGUUGUCCGGAAUGACUGGGCGUAAAGGGCGUGUAGGCGGCCGAUUAAGUCUGGAGUGAAAGUCCUGCUUUCAAGGUGGGAAUUGCUUUGGAGACUGGUUGGCUUGAGUGCGGAAGAGGUAAGUGGAAUUCCCAGUGUAGCGGUGAAAUGCGUAGAGAUUGGGAGGAACACCAGUGGCGAAGGCGACUUACUGGGCCGUAACUGACGCUGAGGCGCGAAAGCGUGGGGAGCGAACAGGAUUAGAUACCCUGGUAGUCCACGCUGUAAACGAUGAAUGCUAGGUGUAGGGGGUAUCGACCCCUCCUGUGCCGGAGUAAACGCAAUAAGCAUUCCGCCUGGGGAGUACGGCCGCAAGGUUGAAACUCAAAUGAAUUGACGGGG
This 397-nucleotide ribosomal RNA is filed under the name uncultured bacterium. RNAcentral's name for it is "partial 16S ribosomal RNA". It matches the Rfam family "Bacterial small subunit ribosomal RNA", at positions 523 to 918 of the family's 1533-position model. The record is from RNAcentral.